RNAcentral lists this transfer RNA (71 nucleotides) under Metarhizium acridum CQMa 102. It matches the Rfam family "tRNA". From Rfam's summary of the family: Transfer RNA (tRNA) molecules are approximately 80 nucleotides in length. Their secondary structure includes four short double-helical elements and three loops (D, anti-codon, and T loops). The record is from Rfam by way of RNAcentral. Lineage: Eukaryota; Fungi; Ascomycota; Sordariomycetes; Hypocreales; Clavicipitaceae.
AAAAGUGUAAAAGAAUUGGUUUAUAAGGAGGUUUAGCCUUCAAAUUCUUGGUUCAAAUCCAAGCACUUUUA